UACGUAGGGACCGAGCGUUGUCCGGAAUCAUUGGGCGUAAAGAGCGUGUAGGCGGCCUGUUUAAGUCUUGCGUGAAAUCUCGGGGCUCAACCCCGAGCGGUCGUGAGAAACUGGCAGGCUAGAGUGCGGGAGAGGAGAGUGGAAUUCCUGGUGUAGCGGUGAAAUGCACAGAUAUCAGGAGGAACACCGAUGGCGAAGGCAGGUCUCUGGGCCACUACUGACGCUGAGAAGCGAAAGCAUGGGGAGCGAACAGG
Molecule: ribosomal RNA, 254 nt
Filed under: uncultured bacterium
Lineage: Bacteria
Description: partial 16S ribosomal RNA
Rfam family: Bacterial small subunit ribosomal RNA
Source: RNAcentral